Molecule: non-coding RNA, 433 nt
Organism: Delphinapterus leucas (beluga whale)
Lineage: Eukaryota; Metazoa; Chordata; Mammalia; Artiodactyla; Monodontidae
Source: RefSeq, a predicted model, not a curated record
CUCUUUUACUUACCAGAUCACUGGUUUAUCAUAAAAGGAUGUAACUCGGGAACAGCCAGACGGAAGAGAUGUAGAGGGCAAGAUUCUCCAAGAGUUUCCUGAGAAGUAUGUGGGUCAUCUAUGUUUUUGAGCACUUGUAUCUUUGAAAAUAACUUCAUUUGAACCUGAUACUUUUUGGCUGGGUCUGAAGUUCCAGGCUGGAAAUAACUUCUCUUCGGCUUCUCGAAGGCAGAUCUCCCCGUCGUCUUGGCUGUUUGCACUGCAGGGGGCGUGGACAGAAAAAAGAUGUUUAAAACAGGACUGUUGUAAAACUACCCAGUAAAACAGACCUUCCCAGAAACACCCACUGGAAGAGUUCAUGGCUGUGCAGGCACUCAUGAUACGGACUUCCCUGGUGGCGCAGUGGUUAAGAAUCCGCCUGCCAGUGCAGAGG